RNAcentral lists this unclassified non-coding RNA (113 nucleotides) under Aeromonas salmonicida subsp. salmonicida. Its description in RNAcentral is "putative regulatory RNA". RNAcentral also lists the same sequence under 1 other name. Lineage: Bacteria; Pseudomonadati; Pseudomonadota; Gammaproteobacteria; Aeromonadales; Aeromonadaceae. The record is from RNAcentral.
GGUACUUAACGGUAUCCGCUUCCUGCUCGAAGCUGUUACCCACCGGAUUCCAAGGUUCCUACGCCUUAGAACACCGGGCAAAGAACCCGCCUAAAGGCGGGUUUUUUGUUUUC